ACACGACCGUACCGCAAACCGACACUGGUGCGCGAGAUGAGUAUUCUAAGGCGCUUGAGAGAACUCAGGAGAAGGAACUCGGCAAAUUGACACCGUAACUUCGGAAGAAGGUGUGCCUUUAGUAGGUGAACCAUUUACUUGGGGAGCCCAAUGAGGCUGCAAAAAAUCGGUGGCUGCAACUGUUUAUUAAAAACACAGCACUCUGCUAAGACGAAAGUCGACGUAUAGGGUGUGACGCCUGCCCGGUGCUGGAAGAUUAAAUGAUGGGGUGCAAGCUCUUGAUUGAAGUCCCAGUAAACGGCGGCCGUAACAAUAACGGUCCUAAGGUAGCGAAAUUCCUUGUCGGGUAAGUUCCGACCUGCACGAAUGGCGUAAUGAUGGCCACACUGUCUCCUCCUGAGACUCAGCGAAGUUGAAAUGUUUGUGAUGAUGCAAUCUCCCCGCGGAAAGACGGAAAGACCCCAUGAACCUUUACUGUAGCUUUGUAUUGGACUUUGAACAGAUCUGUGUAGGAUAGGUGGGAGGCUUUGAAGUGUGGUCGCUAGAUCGCAUGGAGCCAACGUUGAAAUACCACCCUGGUGUGUUUGAGGUUCUAACCUAGGUCCAUUAUCUGGAUCGGGGACAGUGCAUGGUAGGCAGUUUGACUGGGGCGGUCUCCUCCCAAAGUGUAACGGAGGAGUUCGAAGGUACGCUAGGUACGGUCGGACAUCGUGCUAAUAGUGCAAUGGCAUAAGCGUGCUUAACUGCGAGACUGACAAGUCGAGCAGAUGCGAAAGCAGGACAUAGUGAUCCGGUGGUUCUGUAUGGAAGGGCCAUCGCUCAACGGAUAAAAGGUACUCUGGGGAUAACAGGCUGAUACCGCCCAAGAGUUCAUAUCGACGGCGGUGUUUGGCACCUCGAUGUCGGCUCAUCUCAUCCUGGGGCUGUAGCCGGUCCCAAGGGUAUGGCUGUUCGCCAUUUAAAGAGGUACGUGAGCUGGGUUUAAAACGUCGUGAGACAGUUUGGUCCCUAUCUUCCGUGGGCGCUGCAGAUUUGAGGAAGCCUGCUCCUAGUACGAGAGGACCGGAGUGGACGAACCUCUGGUGUAUCGGUUGUCACGCCAGUGGCAUUGCCGAGUAGCUAAGUUCGGAAGAGAUAACCGCUGAAAGCAUCUAAGCGGGAAACUCGUUUCAAGAUUAGAUCUGCCGGGGCCUUGAGCCCCCUAAAGAGUCGUUCAAGACCAGGACGUUGAUAGGUCAGGUGUGGAAGCCA
RNAcentral lists this ribosomal RNA (1251 nucleotides) under metagenome. RNAcentral's name for it is "bacterial LSU rRNA". It matches the Rfam family "Bacterial large subunit ribosomal RNA", at positions 1636 to 2876 of the family's 2925-position model. The record is from RNAcentral.